This 548-nucleotide ribosomal RNA is filed under the name Holepyris sp. IA-2018. Its description in RNAcentral is "eukaryotic LSU rRNA". Lineage: Eukaryota; Metazoa; Arthropoda; Insecta; Hymenoptera; Bethylidae. The record is from RNAcentral.
AAAUGGGGAAGAUUCAUCGUCAACGAGGCUGGCUUCGCGAUGGCUCGUGAUGUCCCCCGGUGCUUAACCGUUCCGGGGCACGCGGUCGUCACGGUGCGUCCGGUCGCGUCGGCGUGCACUUCUCCCCUAGUAGAACGUCGCGACCCGUUGGGUGCCGGUCUUUCGGCCCGGGUGGAUGACUGUCUCAUCGUCGCAAGGCGUGUGCGGCAGACCCCCGUGCGCCUAGAGUUACCCGGCUGCCCGGCGGUACGCUCAUGGUAUCGGGCCGCAAUUAUCGAACUGCGUCGGGCCCAUCUCGCCCGCCUCCUCGGAUCUCGGUGGUACCGUCCCAACGGUGCGCUUCGAAUAUCCGGCUGGCGCAUUCAAGGCGAGGGGUGACCUCCGACUGGCCAUUGAAAAAUUUGACGAUACCGGUCGGCGACGCUACUGCUUUGGGUAAUCUCAGGACCCGUCUUGAAACACGGACCAAGGAGUCUAACAUGUGCGCGAGUCAUUGGGACAGCGAAGCCUAAAGGCGAAAUGAAAGUGAAGGGCGGCCCUAGCGCCGA